UGCCUGCUAGUUAUUAUUAAUUUAGGGCGACUUAGUUUCUCUUGGUCUUGCAGAGGAAGGAAGUAAGUAAGGAAGGAAGAUGGCAGGAGUGGAAGCGAGGGUUUCCCUAGAAGACCUCAAGAAGAAAAUGGCUGACUUUGCAAAGGAAAGAGACUGGGACCAGUUUCAUAGUCCUAGAAAUCUCCUUUUGGCCCUGGUGGGAGAAGUAGGUGAAUUGUCUGAGAUAUUUCAGUGGAAAGGAGAGGUUCCAAGAGGGCUCCCUGAUUGGAAAGGUGAAGAGAAAGAGCACCUUGGAGAGGAGCUAUCAGAUGUGUUGUUGUAUCUUGUUAGGCUCUCUGAUGUAUGCGGUGUUGAUCUUGGUAAAGCUGCCAUGAGAAAGCUGGAGAUCAAUGCCAUCAAGUACCCUGUUCAGCUCUGUAAGGGCUCCUCAGAAAAAAAAAGGCCAAUCAACGCAGGCAACAAUGCUAGUGGUGAUGGUGUUACAGGGAGCAUUUAUAGCAACAGCAGCACAAGUAACAGUAAUGGUGUCUGAUGUUCUGAGAUUAUGUCCUCUCUGACUUUCGUAGCAGGCCUCCCGUCUGAGAUGGAUUUGGAACGAACUUGAUGUUGAUGUUGAAGUGGAGUGGAGUGGAGUGAAUAGUGUCUCGCUUUGCAUUAGUGCAAUGGUGGAUUGGUGAAUUAAAUUAUCUUAAUUUUAAUAUUUUUCUUAAUUAUCUUGUUUUAUUUACUAAUUUAAUGACGAGCUUUUAUGCAUGAUUUAAAUAUUUAUAAAAAUCAAAGUGGUUGUUUUUAAUACAA
Molecule: RNA transcript, 798 nt
Organism: Populus trichocarpa (black cottonwood)
Lineage: Eukaryota; Viridiplantae; Streptophyta; Magnoliopsida; Malpighiales; Salicaceae
Exons: 3
Source: RefSeq, a predicted model, not a curated record